CCGCGCAUCUCAUUGCGCGUAGCCUACGAGGUAGGAGCGGCGAGGCAACAGACCGUUCGAAGCCCUCGGACAAUGUACCCACGAUUGCAAAAUUGGCUCCAGAACCGCGAGGCGACGGUGUAUCUGCCAGCAUAAGGCGGAGAUGGGG
Acidobacteria bacterium 13_1_20CM_4_56_7 is the source of this 148-nucleotide non-coding RNA. Lineage: Bacteria; Pseudomonadati; Acidobacteriota. The record is from Rfam.